UACGUAGGGUGCAAGCGUUAAUCGGAAUUACUGGGCGUAAAGCGUGCGCAGGCGGUUUUGUAAGUUUGUCGUGAAAUCCCCGGGCUCAACCUGGGAAUUGCAUUGGAGACUGCAAGGCUUGAAUCUGGCAGAGGGGGGUAGAAUUCCACGUGUAGCAGUGAAAUGCGUAGAGAUGUGGAGGAACACCGAUGGCGAAGGCAGCCCCCUGGGUCAAGAUUGACGCUCAUGCACGAAAGCGUGGGGAGCAAACAGG
Molecule: ribosomal RNA, 253 nt
Filed under: uncultured bacterium
Lineage: Bacteria
Description: partial 16S ribosomal RNA
Rfam family: Bacterial small subunit ribosomal RNA
Source: RNAcentral